GAGUUAUGCAAAGCUUGGCGGAGUCAUAUGGGAUAAACAUCUUGACAUCCACAGGACUCUCAUCUACUGGAUGUUUUUUGCUUGCACUUAUUGAAGAUACCUUGGGUACUGUGAUGUGGCUUAAACAUCACGCUGAAUCGUUUGUUCCAGUUGUGCUUGCUUAAAAGAUACAGAAAAAGAAAAAGAAAACUAUGAGUGUGUUAUGAAUGUUGCAUGGUCUGCGCAGCUGAAUCUCUUCUCUCAGGUCAGGAACACUGCCUGGCAGCUCCUCUGAUGACACAUUGGGAUGAGAAAGUACCACACGGGUGGAAACAGCUGGAUCAUCCUGAUAUUGAGAAAGUCUCUAUUUCAGAUGUUGCCGCAG
Danio rerio (zebrafish) is the source of this 364-nucleotide non-coding RNA. The record is from Ensembl. Lineage: Eukaryota; Metazoa; Chordata; Actinopteri; Cypriniformes; Danionidae.